RNAcentral lists this long non-coding RNA (2127 nucleotides) under Sorghum bicolor (sorghum). Its description in RNAcentral is "long non-coding RNA (SBIC_LNC013110)". The record is from RNAcentral. Lineage: Eukaryota; Viridiplantae; Streptophyta; Magnoliopsida; Poales; Poaceae.
CAAGGAGCUACAAGGAGUCAGAGCUAGAGUCGGGGGCAUACUAGUCUAGAUGAGAGGGAAAAUAGAGGGGAAAGAAUAAGGUGCUUGGAUUCUCGGGUGUCUCGUCAGUGUUUAGAUUUCCAACACCCUAAGCUCAUGGGUGGCCUAAGCCCCGUGACCACCACUAAACUACUUUUUUUUUAAAAAGUUGCCAAAAACUCUAGCUCAUGUAAGGGAGAAGAGAGACACCAUUGCUCAUGAGUGGACUACUAAGCUCCAAACUCAACACAACCUGUCGAGCCCCUUAGGGGGCCUCUUGGGGUCCGGCCAUUCGGACCGAAUUCUCGGUCCGGUAAUUUUCUCGGACUGUUUCUCGAUUGUAUUGUUUUCUACUAAGACCGGGCAUGUCUAGAUUAUUGGGCCUUCACACUAGUACAGGGAAAGACUUUAGCUCCAGGCGCCUUUAGUCCCGGCUACGGAACCAGGGCUAAGGUUUCGGGACUAAAUGUCCCACCUUUAGUUCUGGUUCCGAGGACCGGGACUAAAGGUCCACCUUUAGUCCCGGUUGGUAACAGCAACCGGGACUAAAAGAUGCGCCAGGGUGUGCCACCUGGCCUCCACUUUUAGUCCCGGUUGUUGCUACCAACCGGGACUAAAGACUUUUUUCUUUUUUUUUUCUUUUUCUUUUCAUUUGGUUUUCCAUUUAGGGUUUACGAUUAUGUUAUUGUUAUUUUCGAAUGCGUAUUGUUUGCUGGUAGUUUAUGGAACGCGCACCUAUAAUUUAUGUAAUUUAAAGCAUUACAUAUAAAUAUACUAUAAAACACUAUAUAUAUAAAUAAUAUGUAUCUAUAGUUCCAUAAUAUAAUAUUUACACAUAUGCUUCACGGACAAAGUAUUUACAACACAAUUUAUCUCCGCCACUCAAGCAUCGUACAAAUGAUCAUCGUUAUUUGGUUUCAUUGGCUCCUGAGGGUUGAAGUAGCACUCACCGCCGGGAUCCAGGACUUGGUCGUUAAGAAAUCCUGUGAUUGUCUCCUGAAUUCAUUUUAGGCGCACCGCAUCCAACACCUGCUCCUUCAGCCACAUCUCCUUUAAUAGACAUUAAAGAAAAAAGUUAGAGGUAUGAAUAGGAUUUAUUAAAUAGCAACAAAUAAAUGAAAUAAACUUAUUAUAUAUACAUGUUACAUACUUUUAGGUGCUCAAGAUUAGUUCUUUGGCAUAGACCGUCAUAAACUCGCACACAUAGUAGCCACACAAAUUGUUUGCCCGGUGUCUGCCGUAGAACCCAUUGAAGUAAGAUGGGCUUUGAAAGUGCUGCAUUCAACUCUGGACGGUGUUUCUGCACGAACCCAGCCCAAACCCUAGCAAUAAAACGAUCAUUAUUAAUUAUCUAUUACCAAGUUAAAAGAGCAGAAUUUAAUAUAUAGUGAUCAGAGUUACCCUUGGAUAAUAUCUAUCAUUUCUUGGUAAUCGUCCUGUGGUUUUCUCAACGAGUCAUAGAUUACCAAUUGACAUUGCCAGAGAUCAAUGACAAUUAGUAUCCAAUGAAAGCUGCAUUUGUGUGCAUAUGUAGGCAAAAUUAGUAUAUAUCUUCAUAUUGAUCUGAUUAAUUAGUUAAAUAGAAUGUACACACGAUAACGACACUUACUUAAAGUUGUAGGGAAAGAGUAUAUAUCUUUUAUCUUUUUGGUUGAUCAAGAACCUUAGUAGAUUUCUCUCCGUUUGAGUUCUCCAUAAGACAUACGGGGUCUUGUGGUCUUUGAAUACAACAUUUGGAUCCACAAAUCCAAUCUCCUUGUCAUUUCUAACUCUGAGGUCCCUCAUCAUGUUUCUACAUAUGUACAGAGGGUUUCUGUAAUUAGUUAUAUAUAUACAUGAUAAGUUACAUAGACAUUAUUGAAAGGAAGAAUCACUUACAGACAGAAGCAACUCAUUAGAGAUUUGUCAAGAGCGUCCAUGUGACAUAUGAAUCCAUCCCGCUUGUUUUCCUCGGCCACUCUUAAGAAAUAAUGCACACCAUCAAUGAAUUCUUUGGAGCGGCGAUCGGCAUUGUACAUCCAAUGACGUGUCAUUGUCUGCAUUGCAACGUAAAGUAUUAUAAGUUUCUAAUUUUUUAUACAUAAAGUAACAAAUAAUCUAAAAUUCUCU